This 253-nucleotide unclassified non-coding RNA is filed under the name uncultured Planctomycetia bacterium. Its description in RNAcentral is "contains 16S-23S intergenic spacer region". It matches the Rfam family "Bacterial small subunit ribosomal RNA", at positions 524 to 776 of the family's 1533-position model. The record is from RNAcentral. Lineage: Bacteria; Pseudomonadati; Planctomycetota; Planctomycetia.
GACGAACCGUGCUAACAUUGUUCGGAAUCACUGGGCUUAAAGGGCGCGUAGGCGGGCUGCCAAGUCUGAGGUGAAAGCCCACAGCUCAACUGUGGAAGUGCCCCGGAUACUGGUAGUCUCGAGGGAGGUAGGGGCGUGCGGAACUUCCGGUGGAGCGGUGAAAUGCGUAGAGAUCGGAAGGAACGCCGGUGGCGAAAGCGGCACGCUGGACCUCUUCUGACGCUGAGGCGCGAAAGCCAGGGGAGCAAACGGG